AACGAACGCUGGCGGCGUGCUUAACACAUGCAAGUCGAACGCGAAAGGGACUUCGGUCCUGAGUAAAGUGGCGCACGGGUGAGUAACGCGUGGAUAAUCUACCCGAUGAUCUGGGAUAACAUUUCGAAAGGGGUGCUAAUACCGGAUAAGACCACGGGCUCUUCGGAGCUUGCGGUAAAAGGUGGGGACCUUCGGGCCUACCGUUAUCGGAUGAGUCCGCGUACCAUUAGCUAGUUGGUGGGGUAAGAGCCUACCAAGGCGACGAUGGUUAGCUGGUCUGAGAGGAUGAUCAGCCACACUGGAACUGAGACACGGUCCAGACUCCUACGGGAGGCAGCAGUGGGGAAUUUUGCGCAAUGGGGGAAACCCUGACGCAGCAACGCCGCGUGAGUGAUGAAGGCCUUCGGGUCGUAAAGCUCUGUUGUAAGGGACGAAUGUCGCGAUCAAUAAUACGGAUUGCGAAUGACGGUACCUUACCAGCAAGCCCCGGCUAACUACGUG
Molecule: ribosomal RNA, 501 nt
Filed under: uncultured bacterium
Lineage: Bacteria
Description: bacterial SSU rRNA
Rfam family: Bacterial small subunit ribosomal RNA
Source: RNAcentral